UGCCAGCAGCCGCGGUAAUACGAAAGGCCCGAGCGUUGCGCGGAAUCACUGGGCUUAAAGCGUACGUAGGCGGACCAGCAGGCAUCUUGUGAAAUCCCACGGCUCAACCGUGGAACUGCUCGAUGAACCUCUGGUCUUGAGGCGGGUAGGGGUUGUCGGAACGAUAGGUGGAGUGGUGAAAUGCGUUGAUAUCUAUCGGAACACCAAAGGAGAAAUCAGACAACUGGGCCUGACCUGACGCUGAGGUACGAAAGCGUGGGGAGCGAACGGGAUUAGAUA
Molecule: ribosomal RNA, 279 nt
Filed under: uncultured bacterium
Lineage: Bacteria
Description: partial 16S ribosomal RNA
Rfam family: Bacterial small subunit ribosomal RNA
Source: RNAcentral